This 26-nucleotide small RNA is filed under the name Bombyx mori (domestic silkworm). RNAcentral's name for it is "piRNA piR-bmo-2067340". Lineage: Eukaryota; Metazoa; Arthropoda; Insecta; Lepidoptera; Bombycidae. The record is from RNAcentral.
UUGAUUGAUGUCAAGCCAACCUUUCC